This is a long non-coding RNA of Corvus hawaiiensis (hawaiian crow), 1604 nucleotides long. RefSeq lists it as uncharacterized. The record is from RefSeq and is a predicted model, not a curated record. The transcript is spliced from 3 exons. NCBI's taxonomy places the organism in Eukaryota, Metazoa, Chordata, Aves, Passeriformes, Corvidae.
GCGGGGAUCGCAGCGAGGGGCACCGUGACAGAGCAGCGCUGCGGGCCCUCCCCCCGGGCCGCGCCGGGGCGGGGCGAGUGACUGACAGGGUAAAGCCCUAGGGACCAAGCUCCCCAGCAUCAUCCUGGACCACUUCUUCCUGAUUUGACAGCCCAGCUUGGAGGGGAGGAUCCAGCUGUUCACCUGAAUCCUCAGGUUCAUACUGAAGCAGCCCUCACUCAGCUCUGGUAGAAGUCUGACAUCCUGAUCAAUCCUUCCCCUCCAGCAGGAUGUCAGGUAUUUUAUGCAAGGGUCUCGGCUGGCAGCAAAUUAAUUUCCUAGCCUUCAAAUUAUCUUCAAUGGUAAUGAGCCACUAAAGUCAAGGGAAGAGUCACAGAAGACAAAAUCAUCUUAGGGGCUGCACUGGGUCCUCCACCAGCCUGAACUCGUGUAAGCAAAGCCAGUCUCCUCUGCAGAGUUGCUCGCCCAAGGAUGGCAGCAGCCAGCAAGGCCUCCACAGAGGUGCCAUAGCUCGCUGACACCGUGGAGCAUCACCUUCACAGCAACAGACUGUCCUCUUGGCAGGGCUCAGGGCUGUCCUCCUCAGCAGAAACAAGUCCUGGGAUGCAGCUCAGGACAGGACACACAUCAGCUAAGGCUGCUGGACCACCUUACAGCCAAACCAAGCUGGCAGCUCACUGGGACCGAAGCAAGGUAGUGCCCCUUCUUCUUCCUCCCGGAGUCCUGCUUCAUCUGCUGGUGGAUUCGGCAGUGCUGGGGUAACAGUUGGACUCAGAGGUCUUUACCCUCCUAAAUGAUUCUAUGAUGCCCCACUCUCCUCGACCUCCAGCCAUGCCCCAUUCCUCCCACCCCUGCUGGGACUCAUCUAGUUGCCCCAUAAUUUGCUUUGACUCCUAAACCUGCCCACCUCUCUUUGGCCCAGUUGGUUCAGUAAUUGCACGAAACACAACGUGCUCAUGGAGGGAUCAGGCAGCCAGAGCCAGCCCGGCACAGCAGGAGCCCGAUUCCUCUGCUGCUCAUUCAGUUCAUACCAGAGGGAGCAGAGGGACCUCAGCCCCUGAGGCAAAGACCCGUGGCAGCUCCACCUCUGGAAGGAAAAUCCUGCGCAUCUGUGCCCGGCUGACACUGACCCGUUCUCGGCAGCUCCGGCUUCGUUUCCUACUCAACUCCCCCACUUCUUCCUCCAGAGGGAGGAACGGAAGGGAGCGCGGGGAUGCUCCACCCAGAGCAGGGGAUGCUGCGGUGCCAGCCAGCGCAGCCUGUGUGGUCCCAGCCCGAGCCAGGGGGAUUUCGGCAGGGAAGCCCCUGGCAGUUCCUUCACCAGCCGGAUCCUCUUCAGGGAAGCUGCCAAGAGCCCAAUUAACACACCUACCCCAUAAAAGCAGGAGUGGUGCUGCGCUGAGGGAAACAAUCGACCACGCACUAAAGGGCUUUGCUGAAUGGACUUGAUUCAGCGCUUACGCCUUAAAGCUGAGCACAUGCCUUACUGAAUGGGGACAGGCACGUUUGGGGGCCUGCUGACCUGUCACCCAACAUCAGCAUCUUCAAAAGGAACAGAUCUUGGCACAAACAGCUCUUUCUUUCAGGAAAAUGAAAAGGGGGGG